Parcubacteria group bacterium CG1_02_41_12 is the source of this 72-nucleotide non-coding RNA. The record is from Rfam.
GCGCCUGUAGUUCAAUGGAUAGAACGAGGGACUUCUAAUCCCUUAAUGCAGGUUCGAUUCCUGCCGGGCGUA